Long non-coding RNA from Rattus norvegicus (Norway rat), 6109 nucleotides. RefSeq annotates it as ribosomal protein L36A, pseudogene 18. The record is from RefSeq and is a predicted model, not a curated record. NCBI's taxonomy places the organism in Eukaryota, Metazoa, Chordata, Mammalia, Rodentia, Muridae.
UAAGGGUUCUGGGAGGUCAGCAGACAGCUACACUCUUCCUUCUCGGUCACAUAGAAAAGAUUGGCCUUGACAGUCCUCUAUCCGGGUGAGUGUUUUAGGGCAUAGUGCAGCACUCCAGAAUAGUGGGAGAGAUUCAGUUCUGUUUGACAUACUUUAUCUUGUCACCGGUCUGCAAAUGCUCAUUGGCAACGACCCUGUACCAGGCACACUGCUAAGUACUUUACAUAAGUCACCUUGUUUGACACUCAUCAUAAAUCCCAUUACCUUGUUAAUAGGAGGUUCCUACUGACAGAUGGGGAAACAGACGCUCAGGGGAGUUAAAUAACUGGUCCAGGGUCACUAGGAAAGAACAACGAAGCCAAGAAGAGUCAAACCCAGGCUUUCUGAUGCUGGACGCUGAGUGCUAACCCAGGCCUCCAGCCAUGCCUCCUAGAAGUACAGGCUUCUCCUUUCAUCCUAGAAACCAGGAGAGACAGGUUAGAAGACAUGUUAUUGGAAUAUACAGGAACCAUAUAGACAAAUGCAAGCUGUCGUGGAAUGUCCCCGCCAGCGGGGACCCAGUUAUUCAGGGUCCCGAAGAGGCUUUCUACCUGUGGGCCAAAUGGGGGUGAAGAGAAGAAGGAGACCAAGCAAAAGUUCUGUUGUCAAGGUCUCGUUUAUUGGGGUGAACGUUACAGCUUUUAAGGCUUUCAGGUAGGGGGAGUGUCCUUUGUGAAACACAGAGGAGGGGGAGAUGAGGGUAUAGGCAGUGAUAGCUGGAGGCAAAGAGGUCAGGCGGUAGGCGAUGAGGUCUGGUGGUGGAGACACUGGGUGUUGACUGAGGAGAUAACUGGUAUCUGCUCGAGCUGAGGCAUCCCUUGAAUGUUACCUUCCUGUGCCGUAAAUUCAUGGGAGAGUCCUCUGUCCAACAAUCUUAAGACUUAUGGCAGUCAUCUUAGGGGUGAAUAUCUGUGGCCAAACAGCCCAGAGUCACCUAGCCACUUUGAGCCAUGCAGUCAAAAAGCGGCUAGGCCCAAAUCCAAUACGGCUCCCUACAGUGGAACACACAGCAGGCCAUGGGAAGGGUCCCAAGAUGUCAUGUGCAUUUGGUAUUUCCUACGACAAGCUGAGGGGGGCCGAUAAAGCAGAGCUCUCCAUACCAAGGGCAUGAAAAAGCCCACAGGGUAAACAGCUGUGGGAAGGACAUGACUGACUUAUAAAUGCAGAUAGAGAGACGACAGAGGAGUGAGACUGGGGUGUUUCACUGGGGCCCAAGAACAAUAGGUACUGUAUGAUGGGGUGGCAGUAGGAGCCAUUGAAAGAUUCUAAGCAGAGAACACUCAUGUAGUAAUCAGAUGUUUGCAUUAGAGAGAUAAGUCAGUUUGUAAUGUAAAGAUUAAAUGAAGGGGUGAGGUGGGGUGCACAUGUCUCUAAACCAGCCUCCUUAGAAGGCAGAAGCAAGAGAAGGGUAAACUCAGAGCCAGCUUCAUAAACAGACUCUGCCGAGAAAGAAAGGGAGGAAUGUAUAGCAGCCUCCUCCUUUCCUAACAGAACCCCCGGGGUUUGUUCAGAAUUCUCUUCUUGUAACCAUGGCCGUUAAUAAGAAUCUUCCGAGAUAUUCCGGAGAGGUUUUUCUCCCUCCUACGUGAAGCAUGAUGGAAGAAAUGGCCAUCCUAUCUCUGACAACUUAGACUCUGAGUAUCACACCGGGAAGGGAUCCGGUCGACUAGCCGGAGGCUGAAGCUGCCACUUGGGGGAGUUUGAGACUAAGAGAUGUAGAGGGUUCAGUGAAACCCGUGGUGUGGCCGAUGUGCUUCUGCUCUGAAGCAGAUCCUUGGAAGGAAGCUGCUCUCUUUGAUUUGCUGACUUGGUAUUUUCUUCUGGGAUUGCUGCUACUGGCAGACCGAGAGGGAAGGUUUGCUGUCACCAAACGAAGCUAGCUUUUGUCCUUUGGCUGCAGAUAUCUCCUCUUGGCUUCCCAGAGAGCCAGCCCCACCACUCUGGUCCUCCCUAUUUGACCCAUGAGGAGCACAUGAACUUUCAACAUGCCAUGAAACACCCCUUCCCUCCCAGUUUCUAAUUCUGUUGAACACCAGUAAGAUUUGGAUGGGGGCGGGGGAAGACCAGUGAAUUUAGAGUGCCGAGUCCCCUGGGAUUAAGGCUGAUGUUCUGUUACCUGGGGACCUGCCUAUGGCUACAUACAGUGUAACUUUAAUUUUUUUCAAAGUUUAUUUUUAGUGAUGGUUCUUAAAUGCUUUAACCUCCCUUUUAGCCCACCGCCCACCACAGGUAGUGGAAAAGAAAGGAUACAGGGGUGGGGGAAUGGGGGGUGAGUGGACCUGUUUAGUAAGGUUCUUUGGCACAACCCCCAUCUGUGCUGUCUGGAAAUCAGCAGUUCAGUUCACAGGUCAGCUGUGGCAGCUCGAUCCACUCGCAAACACUUCAUGGAUACACCAGCAGUCCAGUUUGAUAGAGUCAGGAUAGCAAACAUGAAUCAGCAGCACUGGCACUACCUAGAAGAGACAGCCAGGCCUCAGGCUCGGUACAAGUCAGGGAUGUCAGGAGAAAUUCUCAGCUGUGCCACUCUCAGCAAAGUGAAGAUCAGUGAAGACUCGAGACCCACAAGCACUGUAUAGCUAGCUCUAUAAACAAGCCUAUCUCAGCCUCCAACACUGUCAAGUCCUUUUCAUAUGCCCUCCAAAAAUCAUGUGUCUUCCAUGUUCAGGUCUUGCCUCAGUUCAGGUCUUACCUCAGCAUGUACGUAUGCCUCAGCUGACAUCACUCUUCCAACCGGCCCGAGUCCUUGGAAGUGUCAAGAAACUGCAGCACAACACCAGAUGUUUUUUGGUGCAUUUCUCUCUGUAGAGUCCCAACAAAUGCAGCUCAACUAUGCAAAGUAAGGUGAACCAGUACUUGCACUGUUAGAGAAGAAUCCUUCAUCAUGUGUCCUUUCAUGUGUUUGCUUCAGCAGGACAUCCUCUCCCCUGUGUCUGCUUCAGCUAAACAUCCCUUCACGUGUUUGGACCAGCAAAACACCAUACAACUGACUUUCCAAAGAGCGCUUAAGUUCCCACUUCACUACAGUCCUUGUGGAAACGUCCCAGCUCCCAUAAAGAAAUCCAUCCCUCAAGCCUCUGCAUUCCAGAAACUGCUCCCUGCCUUUCCUCCUUGUGUAAUGAUUCUUUGAAGACGCGAUCCACAUGACCAUAUCCGGAGGCCAGCCUACCCCACCAAAAUGAAGUUAUAUAUAUUUUUUUUAGUUCCUAUUUGAAUGGUUCUGAGAAAUAACUGUGUUGGUCUGGUGGUCCUCACAAGUUCACCUUUGGAUCACUCAAUCAUGUCUGCAAGGAGGACUUAGCAUACCCGGCCAAAUCAAGUGAGAUCUCAAGACUGGAGGGGGAGGGACAGUCAGGAUCAAUGAUCCAGGCUAUACCAGGCCAGCUGCCAUGUUGGAGACAUACCAAAGUGAAAAAGAAAGAUGACUCCGGCCAAUGGCUGAAAAGACAACGAGACCUAUUGCCAUCAGCAACGGUAGAGAGCUCAGAAGGGGACCCACACUCUCAGUCAAUCCUUCAGAUGACUGAAGUAGGACAGAUGACAUUUUUUUUUGGCUGAAAACGUAUGAGACACCCUGAUCCAGAAUCACCUAGUAAAUUGCUUCUGGAUUCCUGGCCCAGAGCAAUUGUGAGGUAAUGAGUGUUUCUUUGAGGCACCAAGUUUUAGAGUAGUUCUUAUUUGGCCAAAGAUAGCUGAGAUAGUUAGCCAGAGUUAAUUCCUAUUGCUUGCAGCUAGAAGAACUCCGAAUAAGUAUGUCAGUCACUAGAGACCUCAACACACAAGAGCAGUUACUGUGGUCUUAUAAGAAAUCAACACUUACCUUGUAUUGCUCCCAAUGGUGCACCUAGAACUAAUGGGAAGAAGGCAGAGUUCAGCUUAAUAACUCCAGCAAUUAGAACUUGAAACAAGAGAACAGUUUGCUCAGCCAACUAAUGAUCUCUCUGCUUGAAAAGAUUCUAGUAGAGGAGAGGGUCUGUGAAUAUUCAAGAACAAAUUCUUGUGUGGGGAGAGAUCUAGAACUAACCAAUCUCCUGGACCCCCCCAGCCUUGAGAUUCAGUUACUUUACAAAUCACCGUGCCUUAAGGAUGCUUGCUUAGAGCUGUCAAACCCAACCUCUCCUGUUUCUCAGGGCAACCAGCCCAAAGGUGAUGUCAGCUGAGAAGGUCGCUGAGACAAGGGGAAAUAGAUCAGGGGGAUUUAUGAGGGGACAGACUACAGUACCAAGGCUGACCGAAACUUCUAUAUCAAAUGAGAAGGCCUUAAAGCUUCCGGUAAGAUGCUGCUUCAAAAAUGACCAUCUUCAGGUUAAAGAGAGUCAGUGAAAUGGAUCGUAUAAUCGAUUAACAACAAGCUUGGGGAAAUUGAAAAAAAGAAUCCUUAAAACAGGCUACAGAGUUCUGGCAGGUCAAUCUUUACAGAUGAAUGGGAGCCAGGGGUCUCAAACUGGGACAGUCAGAGUGACUGGAGCAUAGAGUGACUAAACUAUAAGCCGGAACCUUGGCUGUGGCUAGAGUUGAACUAUAAUCUGAAUUCUGCAGAAGUUAAAUUAAACUAUUAUGGCAAUUUCAGGGGAGUAUAGAACAACCCAUAUUGGGGGAGCACUCGGCUCCCCAAAUGGGAAAACUUGACCUCCAUUGGAAAAUAUGAACAUAUUGACUGCCAGGGUCUGUCUCUCAAUGCAAAGUCAAAAGAUUACAGCACAAAAGCAGUGCCAACAGCCAGAACAAGGAAGGACUCCUAUAACCCAUCCCAGCAUUCAAGUAGCUGAGAUAGGAAAUAUCUACCAUGUAAUCCACUAAUAAGAGUAACUAUUGUAGAUACGCGUGCGCUGGAAACAGACUGAGAGGAAAUGGCCGAGGUCUGCAAUGUCCUGGCUUGGCGUGCCCCUCCCCCCAUCCCUCCUCCACCCCAAUUCCAUCCUCCCAACAAGGAUGCUCUACUCAUAUUGUAAAGGAGCCAAUUUUUACUUCAGCAAAAUGUUUUGAAGCCUCCAGCUGUGGCUGCGUUGGAAUAACAGAGGUCAGCCAGCAUGUUUCACGUUUGUAUAAUAAGGAGAUGGGUUGAUAACGAAGACCAAAAGGCCAAGACAUCUGGAGCCACGGGAUGCACCACGCAAGAGGUCAGGGAAACUCAGAAAGGUAAAAAUGACCUCCCCCUAUGCCCGAAACUGAGGCAGAAGGAGCACUCCCAGCCAUCUUCGGGUCAUCUACUGAUGAUGCAUGCUCACGAUGUGUUGUGAGCUUUUAAGGUCCCAAAUUGAGGGAGAAAACCAUGAGAAGGUGUUUAAGGGCAGAGAGCAGGCUCAAUCUAUCAAUGUAUGAGUUUAUGUCUUCCAGUUUAUGACAUCACUUAGUCGACAAUGGUCCGGGUCUUAAGCUCCACGUAAGCCCCAAAUCCCACAAUUUGCAAGGCCUCCAGUAAACCUCUUAUAUAGACUCACUACUCUCAAUGUCACGGCAGAAGGACCAUGUUUAACACGGGAGAAGGCCCUUGGUGCUAUUAAUAAAAACAUGCAGAAUUAAAGUCAUCAAACAUAAAUGAGAGAUCAAUACCACUCCCUUCUCUGUGAGGCUGAGGGAUCACUGAGGAAGAGUGGGCGGAGAGACUGUACUAGCCAGAGGCAGUUGGCUGAAACAGUAUUUGGGAGGCAUGAGAGGUCCGUUACACACACGGACUCGCAGCAGCUAUGAGACCAUCCACAAGAGCCGUCCAAAUCAAGCCAGACAAGAUCUCAGCACAAAUGUGGAAGGGAGUCACCAAGUCCCACCACGAGCGGCUGUGGGCAGAAGGGUCAGUUUGCUUCAAAGAUGAGGCUCCUAAAGCAACUGUCCGCGCUCCAGUAGAUGGCACUGCGCUCUUGCGCAUAAAACACAGAAGACACCAAGUAGGGGCUGGAGAGAUGGCUCAGCGGUUAAGAGCACAGGCUACGCUUCCAGAGGUCCUGAGUUCAAUUCCCAGUAACCACAUGGUGGCUCACAACCAUCUGUAAUGGGAUCCGAUGCCCUCUUCUGGUGUGUCUGAAGACAGUGACAGUGUACUCAUAUACAUAAAAUAAAAUAAAUUAAAAAAAAA